GAUGAACGCUGGCGGCGUGCCUAAUACAUGCAAGUCGAGCGAACAGACGAGGAGCUUGCUCCUCUGACGUUAGCGGCGGACGGGUGAGUAACACGUGGAUAACCUACCUAUAAGACUGGGAUAACUUCGGGAAACCGGAGCUAAUACCGGAUAAUAUAUUGAACCGCAUGGUUCAAUAGUGAAAGACGGUUUUGCUGUCACUUAUAGAUGGAUCCGCGCUGCAUUAGCUAGUUGGUAAGGUAACGGCUUACCAAGGCAACGAUGCGUAGCCGACGUGCGAGGGUGAUCGGCCACACUGGAGCUGAAACACGGUCCAGGCUCCUGCGGGAGGCAGCAGUAGGGAAUCUUCCGCAGUGGGCGGAAGCCUGACGGAGCAACGCCGCGUGAGUGAUAGAGGUCUUCGGAUCGUAAAGCUCUGUUAUUAGGGAAGAACAAAUGUGUAAGUAACUGUGCACGUCUUGACGGUACCUGAUCAGAAAGCCACGGCUAACUACGUG
This 497-nucleotide ribosomal RNA is filed under the name uncultured bacterium. Its description in RNAcentral is "partial 16S ribosomal RNA". It matches the Rfam family "Bacterial small subunit ribosomal RNA", at positions 28 to 507 of the family's 1533-position model. The record is from RNAcentral.